This 379-nucleotide unclassified non-coding RNA is filed under the name soil metagenome. RNAcentral describes it as "partial contains 5.8S ribosomal RNA, internal transcribed spacer 2, and large subunit ribosomal RNA". The stretch from base 1 to 120 matches the Rfam family "5.8S ribosomal RNA", at positions 35 to 154 of the family's 154-position model. The record is from RNAcentral.
GAUGAAGAACGUAGUGAAAUGCGAUAAGUAAUGUGAAUUGCAGAAUUCAGUGAAUCAUCGAAUCUUUGAACGCACCUUGCACCCUUUGGCAUUCCGAAGGGUAUGCUCGUUUGAGUGUCAUUGUACUCUCACACUUCCAAUCUUUGGAUUGGGAGCGGUGGACUUGGGUGUUGCUGCUUACUGUGGCUCACCUCAAAUCGAUUCGUGCACCUCUUGGUUGGACAUAGUACGGCGUGAUAAGUGUCUUCGCCGGCACCUCAGUAGAGGGUGGCUGAUCAGGAGCUCUGUGCUUCAAACCGUCCUCGGACAACAACUGACAACUUGACCUCAAAUCGAGUAGGACUACCCGCUGAACUUAAGCAUAUCAAUAAGCGGAGGA